CACUUGACAAGCCAGAGUUGG
RNAcentral lists this unclassified non-coding RNA (21 nucleotides) under Mus musculus (house mouse). RNAcentral describes it as "oocyte_clustered_small_RNA11950". Lineage: Eukaryota; Metazoa; Chordata; Mammalia; Rodentia; Muridae. The record is from RNAcentral.